GAUGAAGAACGUAGCGAAAUGCGAUAAGUAAUGCGAAUUGCAGAAUUUCCGUGAGUCAUCGAAUCUUUGAACGCACAUUGCGCCCACUGGUAUUCCGGUGGGCAUGCCUGUUCGAGCGUCAUUAUCCUCCCUCAAACCCCGGGUUUGGUGUUGGACCCAAGUUGUGUGAACAACUGGUCUCAAAGACAAUGACGGCGUCCGUGGGACCCUCGGUGCAACGAGCUUUUAGGAGCACGCAUCGAGUUGCAAGGACCUUCCGGGCCGGUCUCCUUUUACUAUUUUACAAGGUUGACCUCGGAUCAGGUAGGAAUACCCGCUGAACUUAAGCAUAUCAAUAAGCGGAGGA
Molecule: unclassified non-coding RNA, 346 nt
Filed under: soil metagenome
Description: partial contains 5.8S ribosomal RNA, internal transcribed spacer 2, and large subunit ribosomal RNA
Rfam family: 5.8S ribosomal RNA (bases 1-121)
Source: RNAcentral